This 400-nucleotide long non-coding RNA is filed under the name Gallus gallus (chicken). Lineage: Eukaryota; Metazoa; Chordata; Aves; Galliformes; Phasianidae. The record is from RNAcentral.
GGCUUUUGGAGAAUGCGCGUUCCAAACUAUAGCCUGUAGGAGAGUGGCUCAGGGAGCAAGGAGUUGUGAGCUUGAGUGCUAUGUGCACAACCCAGGCUGUGAGACCUUGAAGCUGUCAAAGCAGGAAGACAAACUGAGGCUUCACUUAAGAUAAGGGGGUAGCUAGCCUGGGAAGAGAUCAAGACAGUGGAAUGCGAAGAACAGUGAAAAAUACCGUGUGAUGAUGAAUGCUGUACCAAUAGCUAGCAAGCAAGACACGUGAUUUCUGUGUGCUAACCAAUUAUAAGUUGCCGUGUGUACCCUGUAUUUCUGUAUAAGUAUGAGCUGAUUCGGGCAAUAAAGGAUUAGAGGAGUUUCCACCAGUACUUCUGUGAAGACGCGUGGAUUCAUUCAGGCCGCC